GCUCCUUCUCUCUCCGGCUCUAGAACAUGUAUACUAUUGUCCCCUUGUCGUCAAUGUGAUCGAGCAUCUAGACCUCUUGGCUGACGUAGGCCUCUGUGGUCCUUCAAUCUUUUGCGUUCACCAAAAGCCAUUAAGAAUGAGGGUGAUUUGAUUUGUCUUUGGUGUGUGUUUUUAAUGUAAGAGGUCCUCACUUGUUGCACUACUUCGUC
Molecule: long non-coding RNA, 209 nt
Filed under: Elaeis guineensis (African oil palm)
Lineage: Eukaryota; Viridiplantae; Streptophyta; Magnoliopsida; Arecales; Arecaceae
Description: long non-coding RNA (EGUI_LNC016241)
Source: RNAcentral